Molecule: ribosomal RNA, 446 nt
Filed under: uncultured bacterium
Lineage: Bacteria
Description: bacterial SSU rRNA
Rfam family: Bacterial small subunit ribosomal RNA
Source: RNAcentral
UCGAGCGAGAAGGUUAAGAUGGAUUCUUCGGAUGACAGAUUAACUGGAAAGCGGCGGACGGGUGAGUAACGCGUGGGUAACCUACCCCAUACACAGGGAUAGCCAUUGGAAACGAUGAUUAAUACCUGAUAACACAUAAUGGUCGCAUGACUAUGAUGUCAAAGAUUUAUCGGUAUGGGAUGGACCCGCGUCUGAUUAGCUAGUUGGUGAGGUAAAAGCUUACCAAGGCGACGAUCAGUAGCCGACCUGAGAGGGUGAUCGGCCACACUGGAACUGAGACACGGUCCAGACUCCUACGGGAGGCAGCAGUGGGGAAUAUUGCACAAUGGGCGCAAGCCUGAUGCAGCAACGCCGCGUGAGCGAAGAAGGUCUUCGGAUCGUAAAGCUCUUUUCUUAGGGAAGAAAAAUGACGGUACCUAAGGAAUAAGCACCGGCUAAAUACGUGC